Molecule: long non-coding RNA, 471 nt
Organism: Micropterus salmoides (largemouth bass)
Lineage: Eukaryota; Metazoa; Chordata; Actinopteri; Centrarchiformes; Centrarchidae
Exons: 3
Source: RefSeq, a predicted model, not a curated record
GUGAAUGCAGUGGUGGGUGUUUCCUGAAGGUGAUGAACAAUUCUACGGUGUUGUUGACCAGAUUUACUAAAGCUGCUGGAGGAGAAUAUUAUCACUUUUGUGAAGAAUGAGCUGAAAAGAGUCCAGAGGGUUCUGAGUCUAGAUUACGCAGAUUGCUUAGAGAGUCAGAGUGAGGAUGAGGAGGUUUGGGCAGUGAGAAUGAAGACCAGAGGAGGAGCAGCAGAGAGGCCUUUCUGAAGAUCACACUGGACUUCCUAAGGAGAAUGAAGCAGGAGGAGCUGGCUAACUGUCUGCAGAGCGGAACUCAUGCUACAGUGUGCCAACGUAAACUCAAGUCUACCCUAAAGAAGAAGUUCCAGUGUGUAUUUGAGGGGAUUGCUAAAGCAGGAAACCCAACCCUUCUGAACCAGAUCUACACAGAGCUCUACAUCACAGAGGGAGGGACUGCAGAGGUCAAUGAUGAACAUGAGG